This 253-nucleotide ribosomal RNA is filed under the name uncultured bacterium. RNAcentral's name for it is "partial 16S ribosomal RNA". It matches the Rfam family "Bacterial small subunit ribosomal RNA", at positions 524 to 776 of the family's 1533-position model. The record is from RNAcentral.
GACAGAGGGUGCAAACGUUGUUCGGAAUUACUGGGCGUAAAGCGCGUGUAGGCUGCUCCGAAAGUCGGAUGUGAAAGCCCUGGGCUCAACCUAGGAAGUGCACUCGAAACUUCGGAGCUGGGGUCCUGGAGAGGAAGGCGGAAUUCUCGGUGUAGAGGUGAAAUUCGUAGAUAUCGAGAGGAACACCGGUGGCGAAGGCGGCCUUCUGGACAGUGACUGACGCUGAGACGCGAAAGCGUGGGGAGCAAACAGG